Molecule: ribosomal RNA, 253 nt
Filed under: uncultured bacterium
Lineage: Bacteria
Description: partial 16S ribosomal RNA
Rfam family: Bacterial small subunit ribosomal RNA
Source: RNAcentral
UACGGAGGGUGCAAGCGUUAUCCGGAUUCACUGGGUUUAAAGGGUGCGUAGGUGGGUUGGUAAGUCAGUGGUGAAAUCUCCGAGCUUAACUUGGAAACUGCCGUUGAUACUAUCAAUCUUGAAUAUCGCGUAGGUAAGCGGAAUAUGUCAUGUAGCGGUGAAAUGCUUAGAUAUGACAUAGAACACCAAUUGCGAUGGCAGCUUACUUCACGAUCAUUGACACUGAGGCACGAAAGCGUGGGGAGCAAACAGG